Molecule: ribosomal RNA, 497 nt
Filed under: uncultured bacterium
Lineage: Bacteria
Description: partial 16S ribosomal RNA
Rfam family: Bacterial small subunit ribosomal RNA
Source: RNAcentral
GAUGAACGCUGGCGGCGUGCCUAAUACAUGCAAGUCGAGCGAACAGACGAGGAGCUUGCUCCUCUGACGUUAGCGGCGGACGGGUGAGUAACACGUGGAUAACCUACCUAUAAGACUGGGAUAACUUCGGGAAACCGGAGCUAAUACCGGAUAAUAUAUUGAACCGGAUUGUUCAAUAGUGAAAGACGGUUUUGCUGUCACUUAUAGCUGGAUCCGCGCCGCAUUAGGUAGUUGGUAAGGUAACGGCUUACCAAGGAGACGAUGCGUAGCCGACCUGAGAGGGUGAUCGCCCACACGGGAACUGGGCCACGGUCAAGACUCCUACGGGAGGCAGCAGUAGGGAAUCUUCGGCAAUGGGCGAAAUCCUGACGGAGCAACGCCGCGUGAGUGAUGAAGGUCUUCGGAUCGUAAAACUCUGUUAUUAGGGAAGAACAAAUGUGUAAGUAAAUAUGCACGUCUUGACGGUACCUAAUCAGAAAGCCACGGCUAACUACGUG